Gambusia affinis (western mosquitofish) is the source of this 249-nucleotide long non-coding RNA. RefSeq lists it as uncharacterized. The record is from RefSeq and is a predicted model, not a curated record. The transcript is spliced from 3 exons. Lineage: Eukaryota; Metazoa; Chordata; Actinopteri; Cyprinodontiformes; Poeciliidae.
CCUGAAGUUGGUGAGUUGCUCUUGGUGACCAGAACAUAUGUCCUUCUUUCAGCAAUAUUGAGAUAAAAGUGAACCGGAAGAGGAAUUGAAAAUGGAAUACACCAAAUAGACAGAGGCAGGAGACUCUCUCUUAUUUCUGCUGCUGUAUUUUGAAAAACUGGCAAACACGAGUUUCGUUCCGUGACUCUUCAGGACAAUAAAGAAAAUGGACAUCAGUAUGAAGCAUAAUUUUUUUUUAGACCAGUGCAG